GGCCACUGCUAUUGGGAUCCGACUAAGCCAUGCGAGUCGAGAGGGUUCGGCCCUCGGCAGACUGCUCAGUAACACGUGGAUAAUCUACCCUUAGGUGGAGGAUACUCUCGGGAAACUGAGAAUAAUACUCCAUAGGUCUAGGAUGCUGGAAUGCACCUAGGUUGAAAGUUCCGGCGCCUAAGGACGAGUCUGCGGACUAUCAGGUAGUAGUCAGGGUAAAGACCUGACUAGCCUACGACGGAUACGGGUUGUGAGAGCAAUAGCCCGGAGACGAUAUCUGAGACACGAUAUCGGGCCCUACGGGGCGCAGCAGGCGCGAAAUCUUCACAAUGUGCGAAAGCACGAUGAGGGGAUCCCAAGUGUUGGCUCGUAAGAGUCAUCUGUUUCUUUGUCUAAAAAACAGAGAGAGUAAGAGCUGGGUAAGACGGGUGCCAGCCGCCGCGGUAAUACCUGCAGCUCAAGUGGUGGCCGCUAUUAUUGGGCCUAAAACGUCCGUAGCCGGUUUAGUAAAUGCCUGGGUAAAUUGUGUAGCUCAACUAUACGAAUACCGGGUAGACUGCUAAACUUGGAACCGGGAGAGGCUAGAGGUACUCCUAGGGUAGAGGUGAAAUUCUGUAAUCCUAGGGGGACCACCAGUGGCGAAGGCGUCUAGCUAGAACGGGUUUGACGGUGAGGGACGAAGCCCUGGGGCGCAAACCGGAUUAGAUACCCGGGUAGUCCAGGGUGUAAACGCUGCUCGCUUGAUGUUAGUCGGGCUCCGAGCCCAACUAGUGUCGGAGAGAAGUUGUUAAGCGAGCUGCCUGGGAAGUACGGUCGCAAGGCUGAAAC
This 828-nucleotide ribosomal RNA is filed under the name uncultured archaeon. RNAcentral's name for it is "bacterial SSU rRNA". It matches the Rfam family "Archaeal small subunit ribosomal RNA", at positions 22 to 855 of the family's 1478-position model. The record is from RNAcentral.